UCCCUGGUGGCUAAGUCGGUAAAGAAUCCACCUGCAAUGUGGGAGACCUGGGUUCGAUCCCUGACUGGGAU
This 71-nucleotide transfer RNA is filed under the name Ovis aries (sheep). It matches the Rfam family "tRNA". Rfam says of the family: Transfer RNA (tRNA) molecules are approximately 80 nucleotides in length. Their secondary structure includes four short double-helical elements and three loops (D, anti-codon, and T loops). Further hydrogen bonds mediate the characteristic L-shaped molecular structure. tRNAs have two regions of fundamental functional importance: the anti-codon, which is responsible for specific mRNA codon recognition, and the 3' end, to which the tRNAs corresponding amino acid is attached (by aminoacyl-tRNA synthetases). tRNAs cope with the degeneracy of the genetic code in two manners: having more than one tRNA (with a specific anti-codon) for a particular amino acid; and 'wobble' base-pairing, i.e. permitting non-standard base-pairing at the 3rd anti-codon position. Lineage: Eukaryota; Metazoa; Chordata; Mammalia; Artiodactyla; Bovidae. The record is from Rfam by way of RNAcentral.